AGAACGAACGCUGGCGGCAGGCCUCAAACAUGCAAGUCUAGGGGGUGUAGCAAUACAUCACCGGCGGACGGGUGCGUAACGCGUGGGAAUGUACCUAUUGGUUCGGAACAACACAGGGAAACUUGUGCUAAUACCGGAUGAGCCCGAAAGGGGAAAGAUUUCUCGCCAAUAGAUCAGCCCGCGUCCGAUUAGCUAGUUGGUGGGGUUAAAGCCUACCAAGGCGACGAUCGGUAGCUGUUCUGAGAGGAAGAUCAGCCACACUGGGACUGAGACACGGCCCAGACUCCUACGGGAGGCAGCAGUUGGGAAUCUUGGACAAUGGGGGAAACCCUGAUCCAGCCAUGCCGCGUGAGUGAUGAAGGCCUUCGGGUUGUAAAACUCUUUCGACGGGGACAUAAUGACGGUACCCGUAGAAGAAGCUCCGGCUAACUUCGUGCCAGCAGCCGC
This 447-nucleotide ribosomal RNA is filed under the name uncultured bacterium. RNAcentral's name for it is "SSU rRNA". It matches the Rfam family "Bacterial small subunit ribosomal RNA", at positions 26 to 518 of the family's 1533-position model. The record is from RNAcentral.